RNAcentral lists this ribosomal RNA (162 nucleotides) under uncultured bacterium. RNAcentral's name for it is "partial 16S rRNA". It matches the Rfam family "Bacterial small subunit ribosomal RNA", at positions 355 to 511 of the family's 1533-position model. The record is from RNAcentral.
UAGGGAAUCUUCCACAAUGGGCGCAGCCUGAUGGAGCAACGCCGCGUGAGUGAAGAAGGUCUUCGGAUCGUAAACUCUGUUGUUAGAGAAGAACAUGCGAGAGAGUAACUGUUCUUGUAUUGACGGUAUCUAACCAGAAAGCCACGGCUAACUACGUCCCAG